UUCGCCGCCUUCCGUGUGUUGUCGCGGCGCGUGCGUGCUGCCUAGGCAACUGGAGGAGGCGUGGCCGAGCCGGCGCCUUUGCCCGGGGUGUUUUGCGCUUGCUCAGAAGCGCUCCCGAGGUUCCGGUACUGGCUUGAGGUGUUGGACUGCAAUUCCCAUCAUCCCCAGCUACACUGACGAAAAGCAAGGGAUGAUGGGAGCUGUAGUCCAAAAGCAGCUGGAGGGCCGCAGUGGGGGACCUCGGGCUAAAGGAUUUGUUUACUACCUGUUCUAGCAGGAGUUCUCAACCUUGGGCCCCCAAAUGUUGGACUACAACCCCCCACAAUGCCUUUGGCCAUUGUAGCUGGGGAUGAUGGGAGUUGUAGUCUAAUGCCUGGGAACCCAGCUUUGAACACCUCUGGCCUAGGGACCUUUAAGGGUCACAUGAGAAGGGAGAAGAAUUUCUCUCUUUCCACUCUCUCCACACCAUGCAUGAUUUUAUAGACCUCUAUCAUGUCUCCCCAUAGUCAUCUUGGAAGCAAGCUUGCCCAUGUAAUUAGCUUGAUAUGGUAAAGAACAUUGCACUGCAAACAGAGCAGGGUCACAAUCUACCACCACCUCAAAUGCCACCAUUUACUUAUUUAAAAUAUGUCCCACUCGUCCAGGGGCACACUGCUUAGGAUGGCUCACAAAAGCAGGGUAGCCACCCCUUGCUCACUUGGCAUUCGAGAGGCUGCCAUUGUAACAUCACCUGUGCAUAGGAGAUGGCCUGGUGCUAUCUGUAUUGGGGCUGCAGGGGCAUAACUAGAAUAGGGCAAGGCGAGACAGUUGUCUGGGGGUCCACUGCCGGGGGGGGGCAGAGGCAAGUCACAUGACUGACUCCCCCAGCCGCCCAGGCUUCCUUCAGUUGUAUUCAUCCUCCGAAACUGAUGUGAGUGUUCAGACCUGGAGCUACCAGAACAGCAUGUCAAGCGACUUGCAUUGUCCACAAUUUACAAAACCUAUUCAGGCUCAUUUAAGAUUUCUUUACUUCAUGAGCUGAGCUUCAGUGCGGGGGGUGGGGGUGGUGAAGGCAUUUUAAAAUCUUGUCUCUGGGCCCACUCCAACCUUGCUAUGCCCCUGUGGGGGUGGAAACACAAUUUUUGCAAAUUGUGGCGCUCCCCAUGUUGCUGAACUACAACUCCCAUAAUCCCCAGCCACAAUAAUUUGUAGCUGUGGACAAUAGGAACUGCAGUUCAGCAACUUCUGGAGUGCCACAGGGUGGGAAACCCUCUUCUAGACGGGGAAGCAGGGAGAAUCUCUGCAGGGAGAAACCACCUGUGUCUGCUCCCAUCCCCCCCCCCCCGCCAGGAGCCUUUGUCUACCUGCCCUUUGCCUACCUGGCUCUGACCUCAGGAUGAUGCGGGGUCUUCCUUUGUGAUGCGCCCAUUGUUCUCCAGCACCAUAGCCAGGCACAGAGGGACAGAGGCCAGGCGGAGGAGGAGGAGGAAGCCGCUGUUGCUGGAGGAGCCUGAUGCCCCCCCCCCCGCCCAGGAGGAGAGGAAGGCAGGCAGGCCAAGCCCAGAGGUGCUCCUUAGGCCAGGGUUGGCCCCUCUGCUGCUUCCGGAGAAUGUCACCCAGGAGGAAAGUGACCUCGAUGGUGGCAACAGGGCCAGGCUGAGCUCAGGCAGCUGCCGUGGUCUGGGGGGCCCACAGGAGGAGGGCCUGCUGCUGCAGGUCACCCAGGGGGACAUCUCUCUUGGGGCCAGCCCAGACAGAUGGAGAGAGCCCCAGGCCUGCUCUGGGCUACCCCUCGACUCCAAAGGCUUCCAAGGAUGCCUCAGACCCAGGACGGGGCAGCCAGCCGGAACCAAGGCCAGAGCUCGGCAGGAACGGAGCCAGGGCGAGGGUGCUCCUGGGGACUCUCUCUCUCUCUCUCGGCAGACUGCUGGGGGCUGUCGCCUCCUGCUGAGCCCCACACCCCAUGCGCUCCCUAGCCUUGGCGUUCAAAGGGGCCGGGCCUGACUUUGCAGGCAUUUGCUCCGCAAGUCCGUGCAGGGCGGAGGACCCAGGAGCUCCUCAGAGGACUCUUCUGACUCCGAGGAGGGGGGCAAGGCAAUGUCCUUGGGCUGCUCUGGCGGAUCUCCCCGCUCACCUGGUGUGGGGGGCCCAGGGGCGCAAGGCCACUGUGUGCCUGGUCACCGAUGUUCUCCAGAGGGUUUCCUCCUCUGAACUCCCUGCCCAGCCCCACCGGGGCAUCGUGAAGGAUGCCCAACCCCAGCGAGAGAUAUUCCUGCAGAGUUCCUUUCCUAUCCCCCCCCCCCAAUAUUUUCCCCAAGACCAAACCAUUAAAGCCCCCAGGAUUGCUUUCAAGAGUUUCCAGGAAAUGGAUGCCAAUUCUGGCGACUCUGAGCCAGUCCUGGGGGUUGCCGGCAACCCUACGGCCUUGGAACGAGGGGACCCAUGGAGGGCAACCUGCCCAGGGCUCCCUGGACCCUGGAACCGGUGGCAGAAAGCCAUGCUUUGUGGGUGCCCAUAAGGAGGUUGCUGCUCCAAGCCACUCCUGGGGUUCCGGAGCUGUCGGGGCUGGUCCUGGUGGCUGCGGUGAGGAGGGGAGCAGCCCGGGGAAAGGUGGCAGAAGACAAGGAGAAGUGGCAGGACCAGCCCGUAGAGAAGACCGGCCAGAAGAAGAGGGAGCCAGCCAGCCAAGGUGGCCAGGAAGCUGGAGGGAAGAGCAGCAGAGGAGCCGGGAGCAGCUCUGGCCCGGGCCUUGUGGAAACGGCACCGCUGCGGCUGGCCAACUGGCAGGACGGGGACUUGUGCCUCCCGGGCAGAAGCGGGUCCAGCAGCCUUCAAGCUCAAGAGCUAGGGCCGCCGUCAUUCCCGCCCGCCCCCAAUCUCUGCCGAGGACGGAAUCCAAGGUCUGUCCCAAGUUGGGGGCGAGAGCCACAAAGACCAGAGGGCGAGGCGGCGUCUGGAAAAGGGGAGGACAUCCUCAUGGAGAGGCCAAGAGCAGCUGCCGCUUCCUGGCGGAUGGAGGAGACUCCCCCGCCCCGAUUGCAGGGGUGUCGCUAUAACUGAGCCAUUGGGGUCAAAGAACCCGGGCCCCGCAGCUCCCGAGGGCCCCCCAGCUGCACCCCUCCCCAUUUUCUCCCUUAUUCCCCUCACUCUGAGGGGCUGCCGUCGGGGAGAGGGGUGAACACGGGCCUACAGCAGCGACACCGCUGCCGGCUUGCCUAGAGUCACAUUCCAUGAUGCCCUUGAGAAGAAGCCACUGAAGCGGGAAUCUGACCGCGUGAUUGCAGGAGACAGUUCUACUCCUUGGCCAAGACGCUGUGGGAAGCUGGAGGCAGAGAAAGGGGGAUGCUUGACCCCCAAGGGCUGCUGGGGUCUAGAGGAGCCUGGACUACUCACUUCACUGGCUCCGUCAUGGUGGUAAGUAGCUUCGGUGGGCAGGCAGGUGAGUUUUCCUUGGCCCCUUCCUGCCAACAGCUGUGCACGAUGCCUCCACCCCACAUCUGGCAAGAAAGUGGUCAUUCGGGAAGAAGUUGGGAACCUCAGAAGACCACAGCAGAUGGCUCAUGAGGAGGUGAAGCAAAUGUUGUAUAAUCUCGACAAGCUGUUUCCAACCCCACCCUAUUCUUGUCAGGUGCAAUAAACACAGGAGGAAACAUUUUUAAUCAUGAAUAUGCCAUUGCAGAGUGCCAGACUCUUCCAGAGGAAAGCGGACCGAUCAUUCUGCAAGCCUAAAGGUGUGUGCAAACAAUACGGACAUUCACUGCGGAGGGACCAUCACUGCUUAGGUAUUGGCAGGAAAGGAUCCCAAGAACAUGAUCGGCCGCCUUUUCUCGAGGGGAAGGCCACACGCUUAAAGAAGGAGAGAAGAGGUGAUGCCCACACAGCAGGGGUGUGUCAAGAGGUGACCAUUUUUGCCUACAAGUUACUGUUGACAGUUAGGAGUGUCAGUGAUCAUUUGUUUGACAAUCAUUGGCCAUCUCCCCCCCACCCCCCGCCAGACUGUAGAAGGCAAGCCAGGAUAGAGCUAUCCAGCUGGAACCGGCAAGGUGAGCAGAGGAGGGGAGGGGGGGAGAGCGAACGUGAGCAGCUGCCAUGACCAACCCAAUUAGGAAGGGUUGAUCCCAUCACACAAAGGACUGCUUCCAAGACAGAUGAGAAUUCCCAAAUUUUCCAGUGAGAAUGCCAGCUUCUGUAUUGUUCUCUUUGGAUUGCAAAACAUGUUCCUCUGUGGUGAUGACUCUUUCAACAGCUUAUCGCCUUCAGGGGUGGUGAAGUCGGAAGUGGAAGGGAAAGGCCCUCAACUCCUGUCCAGGGUCAAGAGGAUGCUUCUGGUCCAGACGGGAAGGCCUUCAGGGGCCUUCUUUGCAGUGGUGGUGUGAACUGAAGGGGCCCGGAGACCAGCGCCUUGGAGUGAUGGGACUCCCCAGCAGAACUUGGGAGAACAAAAGCAUGAUCUCAGAUCCGUGGAGCGUGAGUGAGUGGAAGUGUCUGGUCCUUGCUGACAUGCCCAGGGUAGCACUGGCCGCCACCUUUGGGGUCGGGAAGGAAUUUUCCUCCAGGGCAGAUUGGCCAAGGUCCUGGAGGUUUUUCGCCUUCCUCUGGGCAUCCAGCAGGGGUCACUUAUUAGGCGAUUUUAGAAAUGAAUCAAGAUAUAUAUUUUUUUUAAACCCCCCAAAUAAAAGCCAUAAACAUGGA
Long non-coding RNA from Hemicordylus capensis (graceful crag lizard), 4671 nucleotides. RefSeq lists it as uncharacterized. NCBI's taxonomy places the organism in Eukaryota, Metazoa, Chordata, Lepidosauria, Squamata, Cordylidae. The record is from RefSeq and is a predicted model, not a curated record. The transcript is spliced from 2 exons.